AACGAACGCUGGCGGCAUGCCUAACACAUGCAAGUCGAACGAGACCUUCUGCUUUCGUGUCGCACGGGCGCGUACUGCGUUGGAACCUGCCCUUAGGACCGGAAUAACUUCCCCCAAGGGGUUGUAAUUACGGCUAAUGUACUCGGUCUAAGGCUUUAUCGCCCUUGGGUGGGCCCGCGGUGGUUUAGCUAGUUGGUCGGGUAAAAGGCUACCAAGGCGACGAUUCAUAGCUGGUCUGAGGGGAUGAUCCGCCGCACAGGGACUGAGGCACGGCCCAAGUGGCGACGAGAGGCCGCAGUGGGGAAUAUUGAACAAGGGACGAAGGCCUGAUCAAGCAGUGCCGCGGGAUGGAUGAAGGCCUUAGGGUUGUGAAACUCUUUUGCUCGGGAUGAUAGUGACAGUACCGGGAGAAUAAGCUCCGGCUAACUCCGUG
This 433-nucleotide ribosomal RNA is filed under the name uncultured bacterium. Its description in RNAcentral is "partial 16S ribosomal RNA". It matches the Rfam family "Bacterial small subunit ribosomal RNA", at positions 29 to 507 of the family's 1533-position model. The record is from RNAcentral.